Molecule: transfer RNA, 71 nt
Filed under: Loxodonta africana (African savanna elephant)
Lineage: Eukaryota; Metazoa; Chordata; Mammalia; Proboscidea; Elephantidae
Rfam family: tRNA
About the family: Transfer RNA (tRNA) molecules are approximately 80 nucleotides in length.
Source: Rfam by way of RNAcentral
GCAGUGGUGGUUCAGUGGUAGAAUUCUUGCCUUCCAUGCGGGAGACCCAGGUUCAAUUUCUGGCCAAUGUG